This 440-nucleotide ribosomal RNA is filed under the name uncultured bacterium. RNAcentral describes it as "partial 16S ribosomal RNA". It matches the Rfam family "Bacterial small subunit ribosomal RNA", at positions 338 to 795 of the family's 1533-position model. The record is from RNAcentral.
CCUACGGGAGGCAGCAGUGGGGAAUAUUGGACAAUGGGGGGAACCCUGAUCCAGCGACGCCGCGUGAGUGAAGAAGUAUUUCGGUAUGUAAAGCUCUAUCAGCAGGGAAGAAAAUGACGGUACCUGACUAAGAAGCCCCGGCUAACUACGUGCCAGCAGCCGCGGUAAUACGUAGGGGGCAAGCGUUAUCCGGAUUUACUGGGUGUAAAGGGAGCGUAGACGGCAGCACAAGUCUGGAGUGAAAUGCCGGGGCUUAACCCCGGAACUGCUUUGGAAACUGUGCAGCUAGAGUGCAGGAGAGGUAAGUGGAAUUCCUAGUGUAGCGGUGAAAUGCGUAGAUAUUAGGAGGAACACCAGUGGCGAAGGCGGCUUACUGGACUGUAACUGACGUUGAGGCUCGAAAGCGUGGGGAGCAAACAGGAUUAGAUACCCCUGUAGUC